This 645-nucleotide ribosomal RNA is filed under the name Pseudomonas syringae. Its description in RNAcentral is "bacterial SSU rRNA". It matches the Rfam family "Bacterial small subunit ribosomal RNA", at positions 25 to 665 of the family's 1533-position model. The record is from RNAcentral. Lineage: Bacteria; Pseudomonadati; Pseudomonadota; Gammaproteobacteria; Pseudomonadales; Pseudomonadaceae.
CAGAUUGAACGCUGGCGGCAGGCCUAACACAUGCAAGUCGAGCGGAUGAAGGGAGCUUGCUCCUGAAUUCAGCGGCGGACGGGUGAGUAAUGCCUAGGAAUCUGCCUGGUAGUGGGGGACAACGUUUCGAAAGGAACGCUAAUACCGCAUACGUCCUACGGGAGAAAGCAGGGGACCUUCGGGCCUUGCGCUAUCAGAUGAGCCUAGGUCGGAUUAGCUAGUUGGUGAGGUAAUGGCUCACCAAGGCGACGAUCCGUAACUGGUCUGAGAGGAUGAUCAGUCACACUGGAACUGAGACACGGUCCAGACUCCUACGGGAGGCAGCAGUGGGGAAUAUUGGACAAUGGGCGAAAGCCUGAUCCAGCCAUGCCGCGUGUGUGAAGAAGGUCUUCGGAUUGUAAAGCACUUUAAGUUGGGAGGAAGGGCAGUAAAUUAAUACUUUGCUGUUUUGACGUUACCGACAGAAUAAGCACCGGCUAACUCUGUGCCAGCAGCCGCGGUAAUACAGAGGGUGCAAGCGUUAAUCGGAAUUACUGGGCGUAAAGCGCGCGUAGGUGGUUCGUUAAGUUGGAUGUGAAAUCCCCGGGCUCAACCUGGGAACUGCAUCCAAAACUGGCGAGCUAGAGUAUGGUAGAGGGUGGUGGA